ACAGUGGAUUUCAUCUGAUGGAUGGUAAUUUGAUUGGCGUAAAUUUGGAAGUAAUUCUGACUCUGUGCCUAAUUUAAGAAAUAAAUCACUCACAACAUUGUUCUUUUAGGAGGAUGGGAUUCGAACGUCAUAUUUUUCUCCAUUUGUUCUUGAGAAUAAUGUGGUGGUCAACUAAAUUACCCUAAUUGGUUCAUAUGGAUUAAUCUUGCAUGUCAUCAUUAGCACCAACUAUUACAUCACACUGCAUGAAAAUGUUUCUUAUUGAUAGAACUGUCUGCAUAAAGAACAGAAAUUACUGUUGUGAUGUUUAAUUAUUUAUGCUGAG
RNAcentral lists this unclassified non-coding RNA (325 nucleotides) under Hevea brasiliensis (rubber tree). Lineage: Eukaryota; Viridiplantae; Streptophyta; Magnoliopsida; Malpighiales; Euphorbiaceae. The record is from RNAcentral.